Molecule: unclassified non-coding RNA, 587 nt
Filed under: Lamarckia aurea
Lineage: Eukaryota; Viridiplantae; Streptophyta; Magnoliopsida; Poales; Poaceae
Description: sequence contains ITS1, 5.8S rRNA gene, ITS2
Rfam family: 5.8S ribosomal RNA (bases 214-369)
Source: RNAcentral
GUGACCUGACAAAACAGACCGCGCACUUGUAAUCCUGCCCGCCGGGCAGCGGCACCGUUCGUCGCCCGGCCAAAAAAUCCUCGAGAACCUCGGAUAUGGCUCUCGGGGUAAAAGAACCCACGGCGCCGAAGGCGUCAAGGAAAACUGUGUGUAACUCGGGGACGUGGCUGGCUCGCUGGCCGCCCCUCGUGUUGAAUGCUAUAUAAUCCACACGACUCUCGGCAACGGAUAUCUCGGCUCUCGCAUCGAUGAAGAACGUAGCGAAAUGCGAUACCUGGUGUGAAUUGCAGAAUCCCGCGAACCAUCGAGUCUUUGAACGCAAGUUGCGCCCGAGGCCACUUGGCCGAGGGCACGCCUGCCUGGGCGUCACGCAAAACACGCUCCAACCCCAAAACUCUGGGGCGGGACGCGGCAUGUGGCUCCCCGUCUCGCAAAGUGGCGGUGGGCCGAAGAUCUGGCUGCCGGCUUGUCGUGCCGGACACAGCGCGUGGUAGGCGAUCUCGCUAUACUAAACGCAGUGCAUCCGACACGUAGCCGGCGUGGUUGCCUCAGAAGACCCUAUUAACGGAGCGCAGCACGCUUUGACC